Sardina pilchardus (European sardine) is the source of this 206-nucleotide long non-coding RNA. RefSeq lists it as uncharacterized. The transcript has 3 exons. NCBI's taxonomy places the organism in Eukaryota, Metazoa, Chordata, Actinopteri, Clupeiformes, Clupeidae. The record is from RefSeq and is a predicted model, not a curated record.
CACUUUUCUAUCAUGAAUCUGACUGCAAGCUGUGUGCUGUAGGCCUACUCUGCCAUCAUCGUAUUCAAGGUGGUGUGAGGACCUGCUGCCCUGCUGCCCUCCUGAUAGUUAUUUUUGUCCAACUAGCUUUGUUGCAGUCCCACGCUUCAUCCUAAUAGGAAUGGACUUCAGAGCGGCACUCAUCCUCCUGCCAAUCAUUUUUAAAG